GGGGGGCAACUCCCUGAGUCGAGCGGCGGACGGGUGAGUAACACGUGGGUAACCUACCCGGAAGUGGGGAAUACCUCGGGGAAACUCGAGCUAAUACCGCAUGACAUCUUUGGGACGAAAGUCCUGACGAUCAAAGCGGGGUCGCAAGACCUCGCGCUACCGGAUGGGCCCGCGCCCGAUUAGCUAGUUGGUGAGGUAACGGCUCACCAAGGCGACGAUCGGUAACCGGCCUGAGAGGGCGAUCGGUCACACCGGAACUGAGACACGGUCCGGACUCCUACGGGAGGCAGCAGUGGGGAAUCUUGCGCAAUGGGCGAAAGCCUGACGCAGCAACGCCGCGUGGAGGAUGAAGGCCCUUGGGUUGUAAACUCCUGUCGGCUGGGAAGAAGUCGUUCGCGGUUAAUACCCGCGGACGUUGACUGUACCAGCAAAGGAAGCCCCGGCUAACUCUGUGCCAGCAGCCGCGGUAAUACAGAGGGGGCCAGCGUUAUUCGGAAUUAUUGGGCGUAAAGGGCGCGUAGGCGGCCAUGCGUGUCUUCCGUGAAAUCUCCCGGCUCAACCGGGAGAGGUCUCUGGAUACUGGCAGGCUUGAGGGCAGCAGAGGAGAGCCGAAUUCCCGGUGUAGCGGUGAUAUGCGUAGAUAUCGGGAGGAAUACCAGUGGCGAAGGCGGCUCUCUGGGCUGUCCCUGACGCUGAGGUGCGAAAGCGUGGGGAGCAAACCGGAUUAGAUACCCGGG
RNAcentral lists this ribosomal RNA (737 nucleotides) under uncultured Acidobacteriota bacterium. RNAcentral's name for it is "bacterial SSU rRNA". It matches the Rfam family "Bacterial small subunit ribosomal RNA", at positions 74 to 790 of the family's 1533-position model. The record is from RNAcentral. Lineage: Bacteria; Pseudomonadati; Acidobacteriota.